GACGAACGCUGGCGGCGUGCCUAAUACAUGCAAGUCGAACGAACCGCGACCGAGUGCUUGCGCUUGGUCAAGGUGAGUGGCGAACGGGUGAGUAACACGUGGGUAACCUACCUCAUAGUGGGGGAUAACAGUCGGAAACGACUGCUAAUACCGCAUAGGACAUAGGAUCACAUGAUUCCGUGAGGAAAGGUGGCGCAAGCUAUCGCUAAGAGAUGGACCCGCGGUGCAUUAGCUAGUUGGUAGGGUAAAGGCCUACCAAGGCGAUGAUGCAUAGCCGACCUGAGAGGGUGAUCGGCCACAUUGGGACUGAGACACGGCCCAAACUCCUACGGGAGGCAGCAGUAGGGAAUCUUCCGCAAUGGACGCAAGUCUGACGGAGCAACGCCGCGUGAGUGAAGAAGGUCUUCGGAUCGUAAAGCUCUGUUGUUAGAGAAGAACAGCGCAUAGAGUAACUGAUAUGCGUGUGACG
Molecule: ribosomal RNA, 469 nt
Filed under: Abiotrophia defectiva
Lineage: Bacteria; Bacillati; Bacillota; Bacilli; Lactobacillales; Aerococcaceae
Description: bacterial SSU rRNA
Rfam family: Bacterial small subunit ribosomal RNA
Source: RNAcentral